Molecule: ribosomal RNA, 940 nt
Filed under: Prexaspes quadriguttatus
Lineage: Eukaryota; Metazoa; Arthropoda; Insecta; Phasmatodea; Pseudophasmatidae
Description: SSU rRNA
Rfam family: Eukaryotic small subunit ribosomal RNA
Source: RNAcentral
ACACAUCCAAGGAAGGCAGCAGGCGCGCAAAUUACCCACUCCCGGCACGGGGAGGUAGUGACGAAAAAUAACGAUACGGGACUCAUCCGAGGCCCCGUAAUCGGAAUGAGAACACUUUAAACCCUUUAACGAGUAUCCAUUGGAGGGCAAGUCUGGUGCCAGCAGCCGCGGUAAUUCCAGCUCCAAUAGCGUAUAUUAAAGUUGUUGCGGUUAAAAAGCUCGUAGUUGGAUUUGUGUCCCACGCUGUCGGUUCACCGUUNGUCGGUGUUUAACUGGCAUGCCCGUGUGGACGUCCUGCCGGUGGAUGCGGCCGGCCGUGGGCCUUCGGGUUCUGCGUGUCGGCGGUCCGAUUCAAUCCUACCGCGGUGCUCUUCACCGAGUGUCGAGGUGGGCCGGCACGUUUACUUUGAACAAAUUAGAGUGCUUAAAGCAGGCAGUGGUUCGCCUGAAUAUUGUGUGCAUGGAAUAAUGGAACAGGACCUCGGUUCUAUUUUGUUGGUUUCCGGAACUUGAGGUAAUGAUUAAUAGGGACAAACGGAGGCAUCCGUAUUGCGACGUUAGAGGUGAAAUUCUUGGAUCGUCGCAAGACGAACUUAAGCGAAAGCAUUUGCCGAGCGUGUUUUCACUAAUCAAGAACGAAAGUUAGAGGUUCGAAGGCGAUCAGAUACCGCCCUAGUUCUAACCAUAAACGAUGCCAGCUAGCGAUCCGUCGAAGUUCCUCCGAUGACUCGGCGGGCAGCUUCCGGGAAACCAAAGCUUUUGGGUUCCGGGGGAAGUAUGGUUGCAAAGCUGAAACUUAAAGGAAUUGACGGAAGGGCACCACCAGGAGUGGAGCCUGCGGCUUAAUUUGACUCAACACGGGAAACCUCACCAGGCCCGGACACCGGAAGGAUUGACAGAUUGAGAGCUCUUUCUUGAUUCGGUGGGUGGUGGUGCAUGG